This is a non-coding RNA of Podarcis lilfordi (Lilford's wall lizard), 78 nucleotides long. The record is from the annotation of a GenBank genome assembly. Lineage: Eukaryota; Metazoa; Chordata; Lepidosauria; Squamata; Lacertidae.
GGAGCGUAGCUCAGUGGUAGAGCAUCUGCUUUGCAUGCAGAUGGCCCUAUGUUUGAUCUGUGAUCUGGGAGAGAUCCC